This 1376-nucleotide ribosomal RNA is filed under the name Acinetobacter baumannii. RNAcentral describes it as "bacterial SSU rRNA". It matches the Rfam family "Bacterial small subunit ribosomal RNA", at positions 21 to 1392 of the family's 1533-position model. The record is from RNAcentral. Lineage: Bacteria; Pseudomonadati; Pseudomonadota; Gammaproteobacteria; Moraxellales; Moraxellaceae.
GGCUCAGAUUGAACGCUGGCGGCAGGCUUAACACAUGCAAGUCGAGCGGAGCGAGGGUGCUUGCACCUUAGCUUAGCGGCGGACGGGUGAGUAAUGCUUAGGAAUCUGCCUAUUAGUGGGGGACAACAUUCCGAAAGGGAUGCUAAUACCGCAUACGCCCUACGGGGGAAAGCAGGGGAUCUUCGGACCUUGCGCUAAUAGAUGAGCCUAAGUCGGAUUAGCUAGUUGGUGGGGUAAAGGCCUACCAAGGCGACGAUCUGUAGCGGGUCUGAGAGGAUGAUCCGCCACACUGGGACUGAGACACGGCCCAGACUCCUACGGGAGGCAGCAGUGGGGAAUAUUGGACAAUGGGGGGAACCCUGAUCCAGCCAUGCCGCGUGUGUGAAGAAGGCCUUUUGGUUGUAAAGCACUUUAAGCGAGGAGGAGGCGCUCUAGGAUAAUACCCUAGAUGCGUGGACGUUACUCGCAGAAUAAGCACCGGCUAACUCUGUGCCAGCAGCCGCGGUAAUACAGAGGGUGCGAGCGUUAAUCGGAUUUACUGGGCGUAAAGCGCGCGUAGGUGGCUAAUUAAGUCAAAUGUGAAAUCCCCGAGCUUAACUUGGGAAUUGCAUUCGAUACUGGUUAGCUAGAGUAUGGGAGAGGAUGGUAGAAUUCCAGGUGUAGCGGUGAAAUGCGUAGAGAUCUGGAGGAAUACCGAUGGCGAAGGCAGCCAUCUGGCCUAAUACUGACACUGAGGUGCGAAAGCAUGGGGAGCAAACAGGAUUAGAUACCCUGGUAGUCCAUGCCGUAAACGAUGUCUACUAGCCGUUGGGGCCUUUGAGGCUUUAGUGGCGCAGCUAACGCGAUAAGUAGACCGCCUGGGGAGUACGGUCGCAAGACUAAAACUCAAAUGAAUUGACGGGGGCCCGCACAAGCGGUGGAGCAUGUGGUUUAAUUCGAUGCAACGCGAAGAACCUUACCUGGCCUUGACAUACAGAGAACUUUCCAGAGAUGGAUUGGUGCCUUCGGGAACUCUGAUACAGGUGCUGCAUGGCUGUCGUCAGCUCGUGUCGUGAGAUGUUGGGUUAAGUCCCGCAACGAGCGCAACCCUUUUCCUUACUUGCCAGCAUUUCGGAUGGGAACUUUAAGGAUACUGCCAGUGACAAACUGGAGGAAGGCGGGGACGACGUCNAGUCAUCAUGGCCCUUACGGCCAGGGCUACACACGUGCUACAAUGGUCGGUACAAAGGGUUGCUACACAGCGAUGUGAUGCUAAUCUCAAAAAGCCGAUCGUAGUCCGGAUUGGAGUCUGCGACUCGACUCCAUGAAGUCCGAAUCGCUAGUAAUCGCGGAUCAGAAUGCCGCGGUGAAUACGUUCCCGGGGCCUGUACACACCG